This 59-nucleotide ribosomal RNA is filed under the name Owenia fusiformis. RNAcentral's name for it is "partial ribosomal RNA large subunit". The record is from RNAcentral. Lineage: Eukaryota; Metazoa; Annelida; Polychaeta; Sabellida; Oweniidae.
AGAUAGGCAAACGCCGUUCGGAAGCGGGGCUCUAGCGCACCGAAACGCCCGCCAUUAUC